This 497-nucleotide ribosomal RNA is filed under the name uncultured bacterium. Its description in RNAcentral is "partial 16S ribosomal RNA". It matches the Rfam family "Bacterial small subunit ribosomal RNA", at positions 28 to 507 of the family's 1533-position model. The record is from RNAcentral.
GAUGAACGCUGGCGGCGUGCCUAAUACAUGCAAGUCGAGCGAACAGACGAGGAGCUUGCUCCUCUGACGUUAGCGGCGGACGGGUGAGUAACACGUGGAUAACCUACCUAUAAGACUGGGAUAACUUCGGGAAACCGGAGCUAAUACCGGAUACUAUAUUGAACCGCAUGGUUCAAUAGUGAAAGACGGUUUUGCUGUCACUUAUAGAUGGAUCCGCGCCGCAUUAGCUAGUUGGUAAGGUAACGGCUUACCAAGGCGACGAUGCGUAGCCGACCUGAGAGGGUGAUCGGCCACCCUGGAACUGAGACACGGUCCAGACUCCUAAGGGAGGCAGCAGUAGGGAAUCGUCCGCAAUGGGCGAAAGCCUGACGGAGCAACGCCGCGUGAGUGAUGAAGGUCUUCGGAUCGUAAAACUCUGUUAUUAGGGAAGAACAAAUGUGUAAGUAACUAUGCACGUCUUGACGGUACCUAAUCAGAAAGCCACGGCUAACUACGUG